This is a non-coding RNA of Callorhinus ursinus (northern fur seal), 113 nucleotides long. NCBI's taxonomy places the organism in Eukaryota, Metazoa, Chordata, Mammalia, Carnivora, Otariidae. The record is from RefSeq and is a predicted model, not a curated record.
CCUAGAACACUUCUGUUCUUCUAGCUGCAGAAGAACGAGUCCUUUUAAAUGAAGUCAUCAGAAGCAGCGACAGGACAUUUCUGUGCUAUCCAAGAAAAGCAUUUAACUGAGGU